RNAcentral lists this small RNA (370 nucleotides) under uncultured Entrophospora. RNAcentral's name for it is "SSU rRNA". It matches the Rfam family "Eukaryotic small subunit ribosomal RNA", at positions 569 to 944 of the family's 1831-position model. The record is from RNAcentral. Lineage: Eukaryota; Fungi; Glomeromycota; Glomeromycetes; Entrophosporales; Entrophosporaceae.
AGCAGCCGCGGUAAUUCCAGCUCCAAUAGCGUAUAUUAAAGUUGUUGCAGUUAAAAAGCUCGUAGUUGAAUUUCGGGAUCAAUAUGUUGGUCGUGCCUAGGUACGUACUGUCAUUAUUGGUUUCUCCCUUCUGAAGAACCACGAUGCCAUUAAUUUGGUGUCGUGGGGAAUCAGGACCUGUUACUUUGAAAAAUUAGAGUGUUUAAAGCAGGCUCGCGCUUGAAUACAUUAGCAUGGAAUAAUGAAAUAGGACGUUUGAUUCUAUUUUGUUGGUUUCUAGGAUCGACGUAAUGAUUAAUAGGGAUAGUUGGGGGCAUUAGUAUUCAAUUGUCAGAGGUGAAAUUCUUGGAUUUAUUGAAGACUAACUACU